This 211-nucleotide transfer RNA is filed under the name Candidatus Aenigmatarchaeota archaeon. RNAcentral describes it as "tRNA-Ser". Lineage: Archaea; Nanobdellati; Candidatus Aenigmatarchaeota. The record is from RNAcentral.
GCUGAGGUAGCAAAGCUUGGUUUAGCGCCUUUUUGCGCAAUAUCCGCGCAAAAACCCGCGGGAAAAAAUACGCCUGCGGGCAGAAGGCGGACCAACUGCGCCGGUCUCGAAAACCGGUGGGCGCAAGCCCGCGGGAGUUCAAACAAGUGGCACAUGCGUGCGCCCCUUGAACCCCUACGACGGGUUCACGAGAAUCUCCCCCUCAGCGCCA